RNAcentral lists this ribosomal RNA (717 nucleotides) under uncultured Rhodococcus sp. RNAcentral's name for it is "bacterial SSU rRNA". It matches the Rfam family "Bacterial small subunit ribosomal RNA", at positions 94 to 825 of the family's 1533-position model. Lineage: Bacteria; Bacillati; Actinomycetota; Actinomycetes; Mycobacteriales; Nocardiaceae. The record is from RNAcentral.
AGCGGCGAACGGGUGAGUAACACGUGGGUGAUCUGCCCUGCACUUCGGGAUAAGCCUGGGAAACUGGGUCUAAUACCGGAUAUGACCUCAGGUUGCAUGACUUGGGGUGGAAAGAUUUAUCGGUGCAGGAUGGGCCCGCGGCCUAUCAGCUUGUUGGUGGGGUAAUGGCCUACCAAGGCGACGACGGGUAGCCGACCUGAGAGGGUGACCGGCCACACUGGGACUGAGACACGGCCCAGACUCCUACGGGAGGCAGCAGUGGGGAAUAUUGCACAAUGGGCGAAAGCCUGAUGCAGCGACGCCGCGUGAGGGAUGACGGCCUUCGGGUUGUAAACCUCUUUCAGCAGGGACGAAGCGCAAGUGACGGUACCUGCAGAAGAAGCACCGGCUAACUACGUGCCAGCAGCCGCGGUAAUACGUAGGGUGCAAGCGUUGUCCGGAAUUACUGGGCGUAGAGAGUUCGUAGGCGGUUUGUCGCGUCGUUUGUGAAAACCAGCAGCUCAACUGCUGGCUUGCAGGCGAUACGGGCAGACUUGAGUACUGCAGGGGAGACUGGAAUUCCUGGUGUAGCGGUGAAAUGCGCAGAUAUCAGGAGGAACACCGGUGGCGAAGGCGGGUCUCUGGGCAGUAACUGACGCUGAGGAACGAAAGCGUGGGUAGCGAACAGGAUUAGAUACCCUGGUAGUCCACGCCGUAAACGGUGGGCGCUAGGUGUGG